Long non-coding RNA from Triticum dicoccoides, 3172 nucleotides. RefSeq lists it as uncharacterized. The transcript is spliced from 4 exons. The record is from RefSeq and is a predicted model, not a curated record. NCBI's taxonomy places the organism in Eukaryota, Viridiplantae, Streptophyta, Magnoliopsida, Poales, Poaceae.
UUUCUCCUGCUCUACACUAGUAAGUGUUGAGAUAAAGCUCGUACUCUUUGCUGAUACAUUGUGAUUUUUUCUUGCUUCUUUGGACUAAUUCGGUCCUUGUUUUAUGUUCUGCUUUUUGCUUUGCUCUCAAUUCAAGAAUCAUUACUAGCCUGAAUACUGGCUUGCUCAUGAGAAACCGUUCUUUUUUCCUUCUGAAAGGAGCUUAUGACAUGCUGCUAGAAAAAUUCUUUGUACCAUAUUUUGGACUCAAAAGUAAUAUAAAUAAAUGGACCAGUAUUUUUUCGUUGCCAUAUUGUACUAUGCGAUGCAAGUAAAUUGUGUGGCACUCUAUCUCCAACAGUAGCACCACCUAAAAUGCACCCCUGUUGCCCUGCCUUUUGGAGCAGACGAAGCUUUGUCAUGGUCUGCUCAUCGCAGAGGAUACAGGUGAACAUAUGGUUUGGUAAUUGGUACUUUAAGAUUUUAGGAGUCUAUAUAGUUUGGUAAUUGGUACUUCAGAAGUCUACUAGCUUUUGUCUGAUUGACAGAGAUGGUUUGGUAGCAACUAACUGAACAAUCAACUGCAGCUUUGUUUUUGGUAGAAACACUGCUGCUUGGUGGUCUCAUAUUGCAUCAUGUGCCAAUUCUGUGAUGUGUAAAGCAAUGUUUUGAAUCUGUGUCUAACUGAAUCCUUGUGUAUUUUCCCUUUGUCUCACUAAUUUCAGAUGGUUUACAGGAUCUGGCCCAGGAGACAAAAAGCUUGUUUCUGGAGUAGUGGAAUUCCUGGGUAGCUAUCUUGUUGAGCUGAGUCUUCUGGACUAGAGCUGUCUCCUGUCCUUGCUAUCAGUGAUUUCUGCUUCAUCAGUUUUUUCUUGCUAGGCUGACCAUUGGAUCAGACACUAAUCCUCGGAGCAAGGAAAUUCAGAACUUGACAGGCUACAGGGCAUCAGAGCUGAAGGACUGCAUUAUAGCCAUACAUGAUUUGCAGCUAAAUAUAAAGGGUUCAUCAUUACCAGCAAUUCAAGACAAAAGUAUAAGCAACGCAUGGUAUGCGCAACUCCAACAGUUAUGUGAUAUUCCUCUGAUAUUGUUUUGCUGGUAGUGUUAGUCUAAUUCUCUAAUCAUUUGGAGCUUUUCAAAUUUAUUUAGGUGCUAGUCUAUCACAAGUAAGAGGCCAUGCAUCCUCUUUGUAGAAUCGUACUUCUGUAUUACUAUCUUAGAACAUUGUGCCUUGUUGGUCUGUUUAGCCACAUAUCUGUAGUGGUUGAUAUAUGCUGAUCCAUUGCCUUUACUGAUUAUUUUUCUUUUGAUCUGUUACCUGUGAGUGCGCUUACAGUACCUACGACCUACCUUUCUACCAAUGGGUUGUACUCCCUCCGUAAAGAAAUAUAAGAGCAUUUAAAUCACUAAAGUAGUGAUCUAAACGCUCUUAUAUUUGUUUACAGAGGGAGUACUAGACAUAGGCCUAAAUAACAUAGCUUGCAUGAAUAAUCAUCAUGGUCUCUUUUUGACUAUUAUCAUCUCGAUAGCCUGCUAGUGUAACAUUCUUUGUUGAAUCAAAAUCCUAGAGAUCUGAGUCAUUUCCAAUGUAUGAUCAACCCAUUUGCUGCCUGUAAGUUUUUCACCUCUAAAUGACUGGUUACAAGUUUGAUGACACACUAAACUUCUAUUGGGAUAUUCAAAAAAAGUUGCCGAGCAAUAUGAUGGCAGAUGGGCGGUCCUGGUUUUCUUCAGUCUGCUGUGCAAAGUUAUCUGCUUACUGUAAUUUUUAAUUGAUUACUGAUGUAUAGCUGUAUAAGACACCUUAAUGCUGAGCAUGAUUUCCAUUAGCCAUAUGCAUCUGGAUUACUAAUAUCCACAGUGAACUACUUGCAAGGCACCGUAAUUAUUUUUUUGUCUGGGGGGAACCUUGAUGCUACAUGGUUCUCAUCGGAACCUUCAUUUUUUGUUCUCUGUUAUUAUAAAUAUUGCAUCGCAUGUGUCUAUUCUUGCUAAUGAACUCGCAAGGAAAGUUCGUGCACCGGUUCAUUGCUUUUUCAACUUGAUGGACUAAAAUCAAAUGCAUGCGUCAAAUUGUUGCAUCCCACUGCAAUUACCUCGCUUCUUUGUUAUAUAAAUUACUACAUGUCUGUUAUUGCUAAUGGCAUUCUUCUGAACAGUGGCUACUAAUAUUGUGCACAAUACCGUACUUAGACCACUCCAGUUUGGAAAUAUAAGGUGUGUUCAAAAUUCCGAUGGUAAAAGAAGUGUGCUAUGGCAUCUCUACCCCUGAAGAAUAUCUAGCUUCAUUUGGUGCUCACUACAUGCAUGCACUGAAUAGUCCUUUUCAAUGUUUCCUUGGUCUUAAGUGCAAGGCAAAAUAUGCCCCUGGAUUUUUCGCGGAAUGGGUAAUUUAGGUUACCAUACUUGCUUGAUAAAUUUGUAUAAAACAUAGGUCAAGUUAGAUGACCUUACUGUUUUGUAUGAUACUUUGCGGCUUUCAGCUGGCUUCUCUGCUUAAUUUGCACAUAUUUUUUUUAACCAGAGCUUCAGUUAGCAGCAAUAUUCCCUGUGAGGAGGGUGCUGAACUCAAGAUGGCCAGGUAGCUACUGAUCGCGGACACGACCUUCAGACCCACGACCAUCAGAACAAAGUAGGAUGGAGACUUGAAUCUCAGGCUUUGGUAGGUUGAUGAUGUAUCAACUUUGAACGGCAGUACAAAAGUCCUGGUCAAGUUUGCUGUCCUUGUGAGUAAAGUGGCAUCAAGUGAUCAGUUAAGCUCAGCUCACCCAUCAGGUUCACUAUUAGUUGUUCCUUUUGAAUCCAUGGUGAUGUUGCUGCGAAAUUUAUAGCGACGCUGGAUGCAGUAAGAUGGCGGUGAUGAGCCGGAGAUGGCGGGAUCUGUAAAACUGUCAGGUUUCUUCAGUUAACGCCGCAAGAGUCUCAUGCAUGGUCUGGAAAAAGAAAAGAUUCAGUUAGCGUUGAGACCAUUUAAGGGGUGGCCUUGAUCUAAAAAAAAAACUAUUUGAUGGACGAAUUUAGUGGAGAGAAUAGAUGGAAGACAAAUAGUGGAAAAGCAAAAGAAGAUUCCUCGGCCAAAAUGCUGAAUGGUGGACGAGUUCCAUGGCGGCUGAAUUUUUAAAAAUUCGAAAUUCAUAUUUUUACCUUUCAGUUUCUUUUUCUUUUCUUUUUUUGAAAAAACAUACACAUACAA